GAUUGUUGGAGCUUGUGGCUCAGUUUGACCCAUUUUUAGCAGGACGUAUCUCAAAAUAUGGGAAUGCUGGCAAAGUUCUGAAUCUGAAGACAUAAUUACUUGUCAUAUUCUAGUUGUGUAAAUGUACUGCCUGAUUGCCCCUCCUUCCCUCCAGGACAUCACCGGAAAACACGAGGCAUCCAAAUUUUAAUCUUUCAUGGUCUAAAAUCUUGAAAGUCAAUCAGCGAUGCAUAACCAAAACUCCACAAAGAAGCUCGAAGGUGCUGAAGAAGACAUCUGGGAUAGACAGAAAUCUUCCUCUUUCCAUGAAAUCCAUUUAAAAUACUCUUAAAUAGGUUAAAUCUGUGCAAGAUCCUUAUUGUGCCCAUGAUUAUUUUACAGAUGGGGAAUUGAUGCACUGAGAGAGACGAUAUGUUUACACUGGGACUGGGAGCGUCCUUCCCAACACAGGUAUACAGAUGUGUUUGCUGCACUCAAGCUACAGUAAUGUGCUAAAAAUAACAGUGUAGCAGGGCAUGGGGGUAGCACAGGCAGCAGCUCAGGCUACUUGCUGAGUACAAACCCACCUGGGCAUGCACUUGGGCAGCACGUCUGUCUCUCCAAGCUGGGAAGCAUGCUCUCACCUGCAGUGUAGACAUACCAUAAGUGACUUGCACAUGGUUACACAGAAAGUCUGUGGCAGUGUGGGGAAUAAAACCCUGGUCUCCCAAGAGAGUGUCCUAACCAUUGGUCCAGGGCCGGCCCACUACAUUUUGGGACCUGAGGCGGGGAGUCCUCACUUGGGCCAAAAUUUUGAAAGGUCUCAAUUCUGCCUUCUCCCUGUUCUACUCCUCUCAUGGUACUGCUCCGCUACCUACCCCAAUAAAGGAGAGCUAACAACUUAAAAUGCCUUGUUCAAAAAUUUUAAGUAACACUUAACUUUCAAAUGCCUGAACAGCAAAUGUAACUUUUCUUGUCUGCAUAGUAAACAAUGGCAUUUUUAUCCAUUUGAAUAAUCAAAGUGGUGCUUUCCGUGCCUUCUUGGUUGCAAAGAUUUGAACUGCUUCCUGAAGGUCCACAGUCUGGGCCAGCUCAUGCUUUAUUGAGAUGGUUGCAAGGCCCACCAGGUUCUCCUGUGUCAUUGUGGAGCAUAGAUGUGUUUUUAUUAACUCCAGCUUGG
Molecule: long non-coding RNA, 1159 nt
Organism: Gopherus flavomarginatus (Mexican gopher tortoise)
Lineage: Eukaryota; Metazoa; Chordata; Testudines; Testudinidae
Exons: 3
Source: RefSeq, a predicted model, not a curated record